GUCGGAAUUGCUAGUAAUCGUGGAUCAGCAUGCCACGGUGAAUACGUUCCCGGGCCUUGUACACACCGCCCGUCAAACCAUGAGAGUUGGCAACACCCGAAGCCUGUAGCUUAACCGCAAGGAUGGCGCAGUCGAAGGUGGGGUCGAUGAUUAGGGUUAAGUCGUAACAAGGUACC
RNAcentral lists this ribosomal RNA (176 nucleotides) under uncultured bacterium. RNAcentral describes it as "partial 16S ribosomal RNA". It matches the Rfam family "Bacterial small subunit ribosomal RNA", at positions 1325 to 1500 of the family's 1533-position model. The record is from RNAcentral.